Molecule: ribosomal RNA, 525 nt
Filed under: uncultured bacterium
Lineage: Bacteria
Description: bacterial SSU rRNA
Rfam family: Bacterial small subunit ribosomal RNA
Source: RNAcentral
AGAGUUUGAUCCUGGCUCAGGAUGAACGCUAGCGGGAGGCUUAAUACAUGCAAGUCGAGCGGUAAGUUUUUAUAGCAAUAUAGAGACCUAGAGCGGCGCACGGGUGAGUAACGCGUACACGACCUGGCCUAAACUGGGGGAUAGCCUUGGGAAACUGAGAAUAAUCCCGCAUGUGAUUAUUGGACUGCAUGGUUUGAUAAUUAAAGCUACGGCGGUUUAGGAUGGGUGUGCGUCUGAUUAGCUAGUUGGCAGUGUAACGGACUACCAAGGCGAUGAUCAGUAGGGGGCGUGAGAGCGUGACCCCCCACACGGGUACUGAGACACGGACCCGACUCCUACGGGAGGCAGCAGUAAGGAAUAUUGGUCAAUGCCCGGAAGGGUGAACCAGCCAUCCCGCGUGAAGGAUGAAGGGGCUCUGCCUUGUAAACUUCUUUUGUAUGGGGCGAAAAAAGGGGAUCUAUCCUCGACUGACGGUACCAUAAGAAUAAGCACCGGCUAACUCCGUGCCAGCAGCCGCGGUAAUAC